AUUCAGAAGAGGAGGUGCAGUCAGUGAACAAAUCCAAGAAGCCACCUGAGAAAAAAGCAGCUACUUCAAAACUUGGUAAAGUUCUAAAGCAGGAUCCUGUUGUUUAUAUUUCAGAGACAGAUGAAGAAGAUGACUUUGUCAAUAAAAGAAUUACCCUGAAACCAAAGGAGAAUGGGACAUCAGCCAUCGGUUGUCCAGGAACAGCCACAGUGAAAAAGGAAGAUGUAAAAUCACGAGCUAAAAGCAAACCAUUAUCUCCAGUGAAACAGACUCCCACCUCGGCACUGGAUUACUUUGGGACAAGUAGCGUCCAGCGAUCGGAGAAGAAACUGGUAGCAAGUAAAAGGAAAGAACCUUCACAGAGCAGAGAGAGCACGCUAGAUGAUGAGGCCAUUGCUAGGCAACUGCAGCUUGAAGAGGAUUCAGAGCUGGAGAGACAGCUGCAUGAAGAUGAAGAAUUUGCUAAAACUUUGGCCAUGUUGGAUGAAACACCGCAGAACAAAAAGG
Eurypyga helias (sunbittern) is the source of this 507-nucleotide long non-coding RNA. RefSeq lists it as uncharacterized. The transcript has 4 exons. Lineage: Eukaryota; Metazoa; Chordata; Aves; Eurypygiformes; Eurypygidae. The record is from RefSeq and is a predicted model, not a curated record.